Molecule: long non-coding RNA, 2630 nt
Organism: Brienomyrus brachyistius
Lineage: Eukaryota; Metazoa; Chordata; Actinopteri; Osteoglossiformes; Mormyridae
Exons: 5
Source: RefSeq, a predicted model, not a curated record
CACAGUCGUCUGAGUUGACAAGUCUGCUGGCAGAAGAGUAAUGUGCCUGCAUCUCGGGGUCGCGGAUGGCGGGGUUGGGUAGGACCCUGGAUCUUUUUGAAGCGGCUUUUGGGCAUGGGGCAUGUGGGCAUGAUUACAGGGAGGGGGCCUCUUUCCCCAGCCGUCACCAUUAAUCUCUGGGGCCAUGCAAAGCUCACGGGAGAUCGCCUCCCUCCUGCUUUGCUUUCGGCUGCCUAGCGGAUGUAAUAACGGGAAACAGAUACGGCGAACCGAUCCGAUUCAAGCUGCCUCAUUUUUCCAUUCUGUUCUCGCAGAUGCUGAAGGCUGGCAUCCCGGAUAAUGGAUCUUUAAGGUGCCUCCACACAUUGGACAGCAGAUAAAUAAAGAUGAACAAAUGCGGAGGAAGUAAUGAACAGGAUAUGGAAAACACUAGCCCCUAGACGUGCAUCUCGAUAUCAUUACUGCAAGAGGCUCAAAUUCUGUAUGAUAUUAGCAGGAAGCUGCAUGCUAAGGUUGUUCGAGCUGCGUGAUUAAUUGCCAGAUGGCCACAAAGUUAAAAGAUCGCCCGAGUAAAUAGUGUCAAAUGGGACUUCCAGAAAAAUAUACCAUGGCGAAAAUUCAGUCACGGAGGUGCAGAAAAUGUGUCUCCCAUUUGAAACAGCCGGCGCCAGCCAUGCCCACAUCUCACCUUGUAUGCCUCCCAAAAACAAGGUACCAUGGAAGAUGAUGAUGAUGAUGAUGAUGAUGAUGAUGAUUACAUCUGUGAUCAAGAAUGGUUCUGAUCUGUGCCAGGCCACCAUACCAUCCUGCCAUUCACACAGCUUCACCAACAGACGGCUUCUCCCAGAUUCCUGUGAACGUUUUCGCAGAAGGGCAAAGGUAAUGCAAUCCAGGUGCUGAUAAAAAAGAAUGAGGAAUUGUCAGUUAGUGCUAAAUUAUGAUUGCUCUCCCCAAUUCUGGCUUUCGUGCCAGCACUGAAGUGGAAAGCAGGAUCUACUUUCAGGAACGUUCUGGAAUUGCUUUCCUCUCCCAGCUGAUAAAACAGCCCCCAGAUUUUCAUGCCAAAAUGACUGUGUCACAUUGCUGACCUGGUGGCACCUGGUGGCAGUAUCCCCCUAUGAGGCUAUGUGGCAUCAACUUAUUGAAAAGCACCAAAUGACAAUUUAUGUAACUGCUUUUAUUGCUGAUUUUUAGUUACACAGAAGCAUGGUUUCUGUAUGAAUCUCAGGAAUUUUUCGUACUUGUCACAUGGAAUGUCACAUACUCAUAUGAACAAUAAUAGUAAUAUUUCUUUUUUGUUUCAUACAUCCAGGGUUGAGGGUUCGAAUCCCGCCUCCAUUCUGUGUGUACUGGAAUGUUCUGUCUGUGUUGUGUGGGUUUCUGGGGGGUUUUGUCUUGGGUUUUGUGUUCUUGCCCAUUUGCCCCUUUAGGCUCCUGCUUCAGGUUCUCCGGUCCUCUGCAGAUGAGUCAGCCUUCCUUCACCUCGUCCUGGCCAUCCAUCCAGUCAGCACCCAAGUCCCCCAGUUCCCUAUUUCCAACAGUGUUGGAGCUGUUGGUCUCGGGGGCAGAAGACUUGGCUUUCAGAUGGGCAGCCUGGGGUGAAGGUGAGGACACCAGUUGUAUAUAUUUCAUCUUAAUUACUUUAAAAUGUUAGACAUAAUGACCAGUCAUGGUAGGAAGGUAAGAAGCUAUUUCUCAUGUUAAAAGUCUUGGAUUCCACCAGCAGACAACUGCGGAGUCCUGAUAUUUUCCAGCACUAAGCACAAGGCCCGGGAGCACAGAGUAGCAGCUGAGGUGUGCAGAUUUCAUCGUGAUGUAGGACAUGCAGUUACUGCGAUGAGGCCGGCCGCUGACAGCUUAACCCACAUCUGAAUGGGCUUGCUCUAAACUUUCAUGCAAAUGGAGCUCACUAAUACCUGAGUAUUGAUAGUGCAUAUCAGCCAGCUACGUCAUAUUUAGUCUUAUAGCUCGAUUGUGUGUUCGUAUCCGAGGGGGGGGGGGUGCCCAUAAUUUGUUGGCUUGCCUGUUUUUUAAGCUCAUGCUAAUUGCAGCUGUGUGAAGCACUUUGUUGUCAUUUCUUCUUCCCUGUCAUCUGGUCUGUUGGUUAUAAGUUAUCGGACUAUCACCACCUUUUCAUCCUCUGUCUGCUGUAAUGGGACAAGCCCUGCAGCCUACUCAUUUACGGGAGGGCCGCUGGUUCCGGCGGACUCGUUCAGCACCCAGUGCUUAACUCAGCCAUGCCUGGGGUUCAGAGGAAGGCCAGGAGGAGCUGGGAGAUGCGGGGAAAAGCCCUCGGAGCGACGGAGCUGGAUUAAAGGCACCGAAUUAACAAGGCAAAUGAGGCCUCUGUUGUUUUCCUUUGGUCUCCGAGAUGCACGUUCUGUGGCUAAAAACAACCAGUCAUGCUACUGUCCCGAGCUGCAGCUGCCACUGAUCGGACAGUUAUAAACUCCGUGCUUCCGUUAAAAAGCCGAUAAUACAAAUAAAACUGACUAUGAUGAAUUUUACUCACUCGAAUCAGAAGCUGGCUCCAGUAAGAUGGAUAUUUUUACAUGAGUAAUUUUCCUUUUCAGAUUCUUAGUUUAGUUAUGUAAGAAGGAGUUACAUAACCGCUUUAAAUAAAUGUUCCC